GUUGAACGCUGGCGGCAGGCCUAACACAUGCAAGUCGAGCGGAUGAAGGGGGCUUGCUCUCUGAUUCAGCGGCGGACGGGUGAGUAAUGCCUAGGAAUCUGCCUGGUAGUGGGGGACAACGUUUCGAAAGGAACGCUAAUACCGCAUACGUCCUACGGGAGAAAGCAGGGGACCUUCGGGCCUUGCGCUAUCAGAUGAGCCUAGGUCGGAUUAGCUAGUUGGUGAGGUAAUGGCUCACCAAGGCGACGAUCCGUAACUGGUCUGAGAGGAUGAUCAGUCACACUGGAACUGAGACACGGUCCAGACUCCUACGGGAGGCAGCAGUGGGGAAUAUUGGACAAUGGGCGAAAGCCUGAUCCAGCCAUGCCGCGUGUGUGAAGAAGGUCUUCGGAUUGUAAAGCACUUUAAGUUGGGAGGAAGGGCAGUAGGCUAAUAUCUUGCUGUUUUGACGUUUACCGACAGAAUAAGCACCGGCUAACUUCGUGCC
RNAcentral lists this ribosomal RNA (487 nucleotides) under uncultured bacterium. RNAcentral's name for it is "bacterial SSU rRNA". It matches the Rfam family "Bacterial small subunit ribosomal RNA", at positions 28 to 509 of the family's 1533-position model. The record is from RNAcentral.